AAAGGGAGACCUAAUUCGGGUAGGAGACGAAAAAAAAGUAGUCCCUACCAAGAAUCAAUCCCAAAAGGUCGGAGCGAGGCGAAAUUGGCUUUCAAACUAGGUUCUGGGUUCACACAAGACCUGAAUCAGGAACAAGGGCUAUUAGCUCAGGUGGUUAGAGCGCACCCCUGAUAAGGGUGAGGUCCCUGGUUCGAGUCCAGGAUGGCCCACCUGCACAGGUGGCAAAAACAAAAAAGCUCCGAAUCAGCACCUUAUCUUACUUAUAUAGUAAGAGAGAAUGCUGGCUCUGAGUUCAGAGUCCAGAGGAACCUUGAAAACUGCAUAGAGCUAGGUGAAAAAGCCAAAAAAGAAGACCGCAAG
This 360-nucleotide transfer RNA is filed under the name uncultured Microcystis sp. Its description in RNAcentral is "partial 16S-23S ribosomal RNA intergenic spacer". The stretch from base 136 to 209 matches the Rfam family "tRNA". Lineage: Bacteria; Bacillati; Cyanobacteriota; Cyanophyceae; Chroococcales; Microcystaceae. The record is from RNAcentral.